This 224-nucleotide ribosomal RNA is filed under the name uncultured Glomus. Its description in RNAcentral is "partial small subunit ribosomal RNA". It matches the Rfam family "Eukaryotic small subunit ribosomal RNA", at positions 553 to 773 of the family's 1831-position model. The record is from RNAcentral. Lineage: Eukaryota; Fungi; Glomeromycota; Glomeromycetes; Glomerales; Glomeraceae. RNAcentral also lists the same sequence under 1 other name.
GGGCAAAGUCUGGUGCCAGCAGCCGCGGUAAUUCCAGCUCCAAUAGCGUAUAUUAAAGUUGUUGCAGUUAAAAAGCUCCGUAGUUGAAUUUCGGGAUUGGCGCAUCGGUCGUGCCUCACGGGGUAUGAACUGGUGCAGUCAAUUUCUCACCUUCUGGAGAACCGCGAUGUCCUUAAUUGGAUGCCGCGGGGAACCAGGACCUUUACUUUGAAAAAAUUAGAGGU